RNAcentral lists this ribosomal RNA (439 nucleotides) under uncultured bacterium. RNAcentral's name for it is "partial 16S ribosomal RNA". It matches the Rfam family "Bacterial small subunit ribosomal RNA", at positions 339 to 795 of the family's 1533-position model. The record is from RNAcentral.
CUACGGGCCGCUGCAGUGAGGAAUAUUGCACAAUGGAGGAAACUCUGAUGCAGCAACGCCGCGUGGAGGAUGACGCAUUUCGGUGUGUAAACUCCUUUUAUGAGUCAAGAAAAUGACGGUAGCUCAUGAAUAAGCACCGGCUAACUCCGUGCCAGCAGCCGCGGUAAUACGGAGGGUGCAAGCGUUACUCGGAAUCACUGGGCGUAAAGGACGCGUAGGCGGGAUAUCAAGUCAUGUGUGAAAUCCUGCAGCUUAACUGUAGAACUGCACUUGAAACUGGUAACCUAGAGUAUGGGAGGGGGAGAUGGAAUUAGUGGUGUAGGGGUAAAAUCCGUAGAUAUCACUAGGAAUACCUAAAGCGAAGGCGAUCUCCUGGAACAUAACUGACGCUAAGGCGUGAAAGCGUGGGGAGCAAACAGGAUUAGAUACCCCGGUAGUC